This 499-nucleotide ribosomal RNA is filed under the name uncultured bacterium. Its description in RNAcentral is "partial 16S ribosomal RNA". It matches the Rfam family "Bacterial small subunit ribosomal RNA", at positions 28 to 507 of the family's 1533-position model. The record is from RNAcentral.
GAUGAACGCUGGCGGCGUGCCUAAUACAUGCAAGUCGAGCGAACAGACGAGAGUGCUUGCACUCUCUGACGUUAGCGGCGGACGGGUGAGUCACACGUGGGUAACCUACCUAUAAGACUGGGAUAACUUCGGGAAACCGGAGCUAAUACCGGAUAAUAUUUAGCUUCGCAUGACGCAAUAGUGUAAGACGGUUCUGCUGUCACUUAUAGAUGGACCCGCGGUGUAUUAGCUAGUUGGUGAGGUAACGGCUCACCAAGGCAACGAUACAUAGCCGACCUGAGAGGGUGAUCGGCCACACGGGGACUGAGACACGGCCCAGACUCCUACGGGAGGCAGCAGUAGGGAAUCUUCCGCAAUGGACGAAAGUCUGACGGAGCAAUGCCGCGUGAGUGAAGAAGGUUUUCGGAUCGUAAAACUCUGUUGUAAGGGAAGAACAAGUACGUUAGUAACUGAACGUACCUUGACGGUACCUUACCAGGAAGCCACGGCUAACUACGUG